UACAGCAAAAUCAUUGUCCCAGCUUUGGGAAGAAAGCUCAGCUGGAAAGGUACAUUGUAUUGGGGGUGAUUAACUUGUGAAUUAAGCCAGACCCUGUAAAUAGGAAAAAUUCUACUUUUCUACUGUCUUCUACAGAACAACUGCUGUAUCUGCCAGAAAUCAGAACUGAGCCGAGUAAAGGGUACAUGGACUUGCAGACCUUCUGCUCAUCCAAAGCAGGAAUAAACCCCAAAAUUUCAAGAACUGUCUCAGAAAGGAGUUAUUUGUUUCUACUUCUAUUUUAUUAGAAGAUAUAAUCCAAAGUUGUUAGAAAAAGAAGGGUUUCCAGAGGAUAAAUAUGAACCAUUUUGUGCCAGGAACACUGAAACAGGCAUUUCAGCUCUGCUGGGACCAUCUUUCCACAGUUCCUCUUUUACCAGAAUGUCUCUCAGAUAUUUGGACAGAUAACCACAGCUAGUGGGCACAUAGCCACAGUUUUCUCCAUAAUGAGUCUCCAGACAUUAUCUGAUCAGCUGUCCAGCUAAUGGGUGCAUGCAGACAUUAGACUUUGUGCCAGCCUCGAUUUUUAUAGGCUUGCGUGCUGCACUGGGACCAGUCUCAGUUUUGGGUUGCUGGUAUGCUUGUUGCUCCUGUUUUUGCAAAAG
Long non-coding RNA from Prinia subflava (tawny-flanked prinia), 644 nucleotides. RefSeq lists it as uncharacterized. NCBI's taxonomy places the organism in Eukaryota, Metazoa, Chordata, Aves, Passeriformes, Cisticolidae. The transcript is spliced from 3 exons. The record is from RefSeq and is a predicted model, not a curated record.